AGUGUAAUUGCUGGAUCAUCUGGUAAUUAGCUGCUUAAUUAUUUGAGGAAUUUCUAUGAUGUUUUCCACAGUAGCUGUACCAUUUUAAAUCCCCACAAACUAU
This 103-nucleotide microRNA precursor is filed under the name Marmota monax (woodchuck). The record is from RNAcentral. Lineage: Eukaryota; Metazoa; Chordata; Mammalia; Rodentia; Sciuridae.